GAUGAACGCUCGCUACAGGCUUAACACAUGCAAGUCGCGGGGCAGCAUGGGGGUUGCUUGCAAUCCCCGAUGGCGACCGGCGCACGGGUGAGUAACGCGUAUCCAACCUGCCCUUCACCACGGGAUAACCCGGCGAAAGUCGGACUAAUACCGUAUGUUGUCCAUUGACGGCAUCCGAUUUGGACGAAAGGGUUGGCGGUGAAGGAUGGGGAUGCGUCCGAUUAGCUGGACGGCGGGGUGACGGCCCACCGUGGCGACGAUCGGUAGGGGUUCUGAGAGGAAGGUCCCCCACACUGGAACUGAGACACGGUCCAGACUCCUACGGGAGGCAGCAGUGAGGAAUAUUGGUCAAUGGGCGUAAGCCUGAACCAGCCAAGUAGCGUGCAGGAUGACGGCCCUAUGGGUUGUAAACUGCUUUUAUGCGGGGAUAAAGUGGCCCACGUGUGGGUUUUUGCAGGUACCGCAUGAAUAAGGACCGGCUAAUUCCGUG
RNAcentral lists this ribosomal RNA (490 nucleotides) under uncultured bacterium. RNAcentral describes it as "partial 16S ribosomal RNA". It matches the Rfam family "Bacterial small subunit ribosomal RNA", at positions 28 to 507 of the family's 1533-position model. The record is from RNAcentral.